GAUGAACGCUGGCGGCGUGCCUAAUACAUGCAAGUCGAGCGAACAGAUGAGGAGCUUGCUCCUCUGACGUUAGCGGCGGACGGGUGAGUAACACGUGGAUAACCUACCUAUAAGACUGGGAUAACUUCGGGAAACCGGAGCUAAUACCGGAUAACAUAUUAAACCGCAUGGUUCAACAGUGAAAGACGGUUUUGCUGUCACUUAUAGAUGGAUCCGCGCCGCAUUAGCUAGUUGGUAAGGUAACGGCUUACCAAGGCAACGAUGCGUAGCCGACCUGAGAGGGUGAUCGGCCACACUGGAACUGAGACACGGUCCAGACUCCUACGGGAGGCAGCAGUAGGGAAUCUUCCGCAAUGGGCGAAAGCCUGACGGAGCAACGCCGCGUGAGUGAUGAAGGUCUUCGGAUCGUAAAACUCUGUUAUUGGGGAAGAACAAAUGUGUAAGUAACUAUGCACGUCUUGACGGUACCUAAUCAGAAAGCCACGGCUAACUACGUG
This 497-nucleotide ribosomal RNA is filed under the name uncultured bacterium. Its description in RNAcentral is "partial 16S ribosomal RNA". It matches the Rfam family "Bacterial small subunit ribosomal RNA", at positions 28 to 507 of the family's 1533-position model. The record is from RNAcentral.